This is a long non-coding RNA of Solanum tuberosum (potato), 2091 nucleotides long. RefSeq lists it as uncharacterized. NCBI's taxonomy places the organism in Eukaryota, Viridiplantae, Streptophyta, Magnoliopsida, Solanales, Solanaceae. The transcript has 4 exons. The record is from RefSeq and is a predicted model, not a curated record.
UAUCAUACCUACAACUCCUAUAUUUGGAAAAGUCUCGUUAAGGCAUACCCCCUAUUUCAUAAAGGGAUCUCAUGGAACGUGGGUGACGUCACAAAAAUCCAUCUAUAGAAUGAAAGAUGGAUCGAAGGGUCAUACACUCUUCGUGAAGUUAUCCACAGCCCGAUAAAUAAGACAGAUACUAAGCUUGUAGUGUCGGAUAUAAUGAAUAACAAUGUUUGGAACUUAACUCAUGUCUUCUUUGAAAUACCCUGCGAAAUUAUAAACUCUAUUCAAAAUACCUAUAUCCAAGUCUCUACACAAAAAAAUGAUGUUUAUUACUAGAACCAAAAUAUCAAUGGGAAAUUUAGCACUAACAACGCCUAUAAACUCUUCUUAAAAGCAAAUAACGACCUUCUUAUAAGUCUUCCAAAUACUUAUACUUGGAUUUGGAAACUCAGGACUUUAAACAAAAUAAAAUUCUUUAUUUAGCUUCUUCUUCUCAAUAAACUCCCUACCUCCUCCUCACUUUUUUUUUAUAUAGAAAUAUCACCAAUCACAGAAAUUGUAUUAGUUGCCCUAAUAGAGAUGAAACUACUAUUCGCAUCUUUGCAAGCUGCCAUGUUGCUACUACAAUCUGGAAUAAGUUCAACAUAAAUAUAGAUAGUAAUGACUUUGACAACAAUAUUAUCUAUCGCCUAUGCCACUCCAAGACCAUGUCCAGAACUAGAAACAAUCUUAGAAUGCCUACAACCAUUCUAACACCAAUUAUUUUUUGGAAUAUUUAGAAAACAAGAAAUAGUAACGUGUUUAAACCUCACCCUCCAAAUAACAUUACCAAAAUAAUUCAAAACAUAUCUUUUUCAAGCACUUUAAUUCCUUCAUAUUUCUAAUCCUUCGAAAAAAAAUCAUCCAAAACAAUCGAUCCCUAUCACAUGGUCUAAACCCCCUGAUGAAUACUUCAAGUUGAACAUUGACGGAUCUUUUGAGCCUAAAACAACGAAUGGAGGUAUCGAAGGAGUAAUAAGGAACCAAGCAGGAGAGUGGAUAACAGGGUUUGCUUGUAAAACCAAAGUGGAAAGUGUGUACCAUGCAUAACUAUUAGCCUUAUUACAUGGACUGACUCUUGCUAAAGAAAAAAUAUAAAACAUUUAUUGGUGGAAACAGGUACUACUAAACUCUCUAAAUAAUGAUAAUGCUAUAUACUCACAUAUCUGUGCUGACUGCAGGUCAUUGCUCCAACAACUGGACGAACCAUCAUUGAAUCAUAUACCGAGGGAGGCUAAUGGAGUAGCUGACGAACUAGCGGAAUACGGAAGGAAGUCAAAUGAUCCAACUAUGACUCUAAAUUAUGUUUAUAUUUUUUAUGCAUCUCCUUCCCUCGUUACGACUUGUCUUGAUAGAGAUGCUAAUGAAAAUGUCUCAUAUAGAACCGUUCCCUUUUGUAUGGAUGAACCUUAGUAUUAAAUAAAAUCCCUUCUUCCUAAGGAAAAAAAAAGAGAUACUUAUUUUGCCACAUUAACAUUUUAUUUUUAGUAGAUACAUGUUUUGAAUUAUGCGGGUAGAUGACUUCUAUCGCAUAACAUUUUUCAAUCGUGCCAUACAGCAACAAGAUUUUAGGGUUUUACAUAAACCCUAUCAAAAUUGGCAUCAACACUCUAUUUGGCUUUGCCUAAAUCCAUCAAUGGAGGCACUAAACGAAUGUACUGCGAAUUAGGUUGUGUAUUUACAUCCAUCGAAGGCCAAAAAGGUUGAGGCCGCUGUUUAUCGCGAACUCAGCUCUCUUCUUUUCAAGUUUAAUGAAGCUUUAGAUGGUGUGGUGUUGACUUAUGAACCGAAGUUCAGUAGCAAUUUGGCUAAAAUUCUUCCAGGAAUUCACCCUUAUUUUGGUGUGAGAUUUGAAGCAAAGUUGCUAAAUGCUAUUAGAAGGUGAGGUCGUUAAAGUUGGCCAACAGUCUAUUCACAUAAUUGUUCUUGGUUUAUCUUCUGCCGUCAUCGCAGAUGAGGACAUUCAAGAAGAUUUCAAGUAUAAAAUUAAACACGGGAAAGAAGUUUUUGUCAGCAAAUCUCACAAGAAUCACAGGAUCAAAGUGGGAACUACUCUACGAUUCGUAG